GAAAUGCGAUAACUAGUGUGAAUUGCAUUAUCUCGUGAACCAUCGAGUCUUUGAACGCACCUUGCACUGUGCAGAGAGUAUCUGAACAGUAUGGAUGUUUGAGAAUCAUAUAAAUAUAUACGCAAGUAUGAGUUGAGGAAUCCAAGUUACUACUUGUUCCUUGAAAUUUAUGCGCACGGUGAAAUGUGUGAUAACAAUUGCACAAAGUACCCCCUGCGAGACUAAACUAACACCAAUAUCAUCGAUCUCAAAUCAUCCAAGAUUACCCGCUGAACUUAA
RNAcentral lists this unclassified non-coding RNA (279 nucleotides) under uncultured fungus. Its description in RNAcentral is "sequence contains ITS1". The stretch from base 1 to 108 matches the Rfam family "5.8S ribosomal RNA", at positions 50 to 154 of the family's 154-position model. The record is from RNAcentral. Lineage: Eukaryota; Fungi.